This 531-nucleotide ribosomal RNA is filed under the name Calonectria kyotensis. RNAcentral's name for it is "eukaryotic LSU rRNA". The stretch from base 166 to 319 matches the Rfam family "5.8S ribosomal RNA". Lineage: Eukaryota; Fungi; Ascomycota; Sordariomycetes; Hypocreales; Nectriaceae. The record is from RNAcentral.
UUGGUGAACCAGCGGAGGGAUCAUUACCGAGUUUACAACUCCCAAACCCCAUGUGAACAUACCUGUUUCGUUCCCUCGGCGGUGUCCGGCAACGGCCCGCCAGAGGACCCAACAAACUCUUUUGAAUUUUUCAGUAUCUUCUGAGUGAAAAAAACAAUAAAUCAAAACUUUCAACAACGGAUCUCUUGGUUCUGGCAUCGAUGAAGAACGCAGCGAAAUGCGAUAAGUAAUGUGAAUUGCAGAAUUCAGUGAAUCAUCGAAUCUUUGAACGCACAUUGCGCCCGCCAGUAUUCUGGCGGGCAUGCCUGUUCGAGCGUCAUUUCAACCCUCAAGCACCUUCGGGAGCUUGGUGUUGGGGAUCGGCAGGGCGUCCUUCGGGUCGCGCCGUCCCCCAAAUUUAGUGGCGGUCUCGCUGUAGCUUCCUCUGCGUAGUAAUACACCUCGCUCUGGAGUCUCGGUGCGACCACGCCGUAAAACCCCCAACUUUUUCUGGUUGACCUCGAAUCAGGUAGGACUACCCGCUGAACUUAA